UCUCAGUUCGGAUUGGAGUCUGCAACUCGACUCCAUGAAGCUGGAUUCGCUAGUAAUCGCGCAUCAGCCAUGGCGCGGUGAAUACGUUCCCGGGCCUUGUACACACCGCCCGUCAAGCCAUGGGAGCCGGGGGUGCCUGAAGUACGUGACCGCGAGGAGCGUCCUAGGGCAAAACUGGUGACUGGGGCUAAGUCGUAACAAGGUAAC
This 207-nucleotide ribosomal RNA is filed under the name uncultured bacterium. Its description in RNAcentral is "partial 16S ribosomal RNA". It matches the Rfam family "Bacterial small subunit ribosomal RNA", at positions 1286 to 1500 of the family's 1533-position model. The record is from RNAcentral.